UACGGGAGGCAGCAGUGGGGAAUUUUCCGCAAUGGGCGAAAGCCUGACGGAGCAAUACCGCGUGAGGGAGGAAGGCUCUUGGGUUGUAAACCUCUUUUCUCAGGGAAGAAGCUCUGACGGUACCUGAGGAAUCAGCAUCGGCUAACUCCGUGCCAGCAGCCGCGGUAAUACGGAGGAUGCAAGCGUUAUCCGGAAUGAUUGGGCGUAAAGCGUCCGCAGGUGGCGAUUCAAGUCUGCUGUCAAAGGUCGGGGCUCAACCCUGAACAGGCGGUGGAAACUGAACAGCUAGAGUGCGGUAGGGGUAGAGGGAAUUCCCGGUGUAGCGGUGAAAUGCGUAGAGAUCGGGAAGAACACCAGUGGCGAAAGCGCUCUACUAGGCCUGCACUGACACUCAGGGACGAAAGCUAGGGGAGCGAAUGGGAUUAGAUACCCCAGUAGUCCUAGCCNGUAAACGAUGGAUACUAGGCGUGGCUUGUAUCGACCCGAGCCGUGCCGGAGCUAACGCGUUAAGUAUCCCGCCUGGGGAGUACGCGCGCAAGCGUGAAACUCAAAGAAAUUGACGG
This 563-nucleotide ribosomal RNA is filed under the name uncultured bacterium. RNAcentral describes it as "bacterial SSU rRNA". It matches the Rfam family "Bacterial small subunit ribosomal RNA", at positions 340 to 916 of the family's 1533-position model. The record is from RNAcentral.